UGGGGAAUAUUGGACAAUGGGCGAAAGCCUGAUCCAGCCAUGCCGCGUGUGUAAAGAAGGUCUUCGGAUUGUAAAGCACUUUAAGUUGGGAGGAAGGGCAGUAAGCGAAUACCUUGCUGUUUUUACGUUACCGACAGAAUAAGCACCGGCUAACUCUGUGCCAGCAGCCGCGGUAAUACAGAGGGUGCGAGCGUUAAUCGGAUUUACUGGGCGUAAAGCGUGCGUAGGCGGCUAAUUGAGUCGGAUGUGAAAUCCCCGAGCUUAACUUGGGAGUUGCAUUCGAUACUGGUUAGCUAGAGUGUGGGAGAGGAUGGUAGAAUUCCAGGUGUAGCGGUGAAAUGCGUAGAGAUCUGGAGGAAUACCGAUGGCGAAGGCAGCCAUCUGGCCUAACACUGACGCUGAGGUACGAAAGCAUGGGGAGCAAACAGG
Molecule: ribosomal RNA, 429 nt
Filed under: Pseudomonadota bacterium
Lineage: Bacteria; Pseudomonadati; Pseudomonadota
Description: Proteobacteria bacterium partial 16S ribosomal RNA
Rfam family: Bacterial small subunit ribosomal RNA
Source: RNAcentral